RNAcentral lists this ribosomal RNA (1194 nucleotides) under human gut metagenome. RNAcentral's name for it is "bacterial LSU rRNA". It matches the Rfam family "Bacterial large subunit ribosomal RNA", at positions 799 to 2007 of the family's 2925-position model. The record is from RNAcentral.
AGCGGAUGAACUGUGGGUAGCGGAGAAAUUCCAAUCGAACUUGGAGAUAGCUGGUUCUCUCCGAAAUAUAUUUAGGUAUAGCCUCAGAGGAUGAGAGAUGGAGGUAGAGCACUGUUUGGACUAGGGGCCCACACGGGUUACUGAAUCUAGAUAAACUCCGAAUGCCAACUUGUUAACUCUGGGAGUCAGACGGCGAGUGAUAAGAUCCGUCGUCGAAAGGGAAACAGCCCAGCCCACCAGCUAAGGUCCCAAAGUACUUGUUAAGUGGAAAAGGAUGUGGGGUUGCAUAGACAGCUAGGAUGUUGGCUUAGAAGCAGCCAUCAUUGAAAGAGUGCGUAAUAGCUCACUAGUCGAGUGACCCUGCGCCGAAAAUGUACCGGGGCUAAACAAGACACCGAAGCUGUGGAUUUACUUUAGAGUAAGUGGUAGGAGAGCGUUCUAUGUGCGGCGAAGGGGUACCGUAAGGAGCCUUGGAGCGCAUAGAAGUGAGAAUGCCGGUAUGAGUAGCGAAAGAUGGGUGAGAAUCCCAUCCACCGAUAGACUAAGGUUUCCAGGGGAAGGUUCGUCCGCCCUGGGUUAGUCGGGACCUAAGCAAAAGCCGAACGGCGUAUGCGAUGGAUAACAGGUAGAGAUUCCUGUACUUGGGAAGACGUUUGAGCAAUGGAGGGACACAGGAGGUAAGUCCACGCAGGCGGAUGGAAGAGCCUGUAGAAGCAGUGAGUGUGCGAGUGAGUCAAAUGCUUAGUCGCAGAAAGCAUGAGCUGUGACCUGGAGCGAAGUAAAAGUAGCGAAGGUGGAUCAUCAAACUGUCGAGAAAAGCUUCUAGCGAGUCGAACCAACCCGUACCGCAAACCGACACAGGUAGUCAAGUAGAGAAUACUGAGGUGAGCGAGAGAACUCUCGUUAAGGAACUCGGCAAAAUGACCCCGUAACUUCGGGAGAAGGGGUGCACACGCAAGUGUGCCGCAGUGAAUAGGCCCAGGCGACUGUUUAUCAAAAACACAGGUUUCUGCUAAAUCGAAAGAUGAUGUAUAGGAGCUGACGCCUGCCCGGUGCUGGAAGGUUAAGAGGAGUGCUUAGCUUCGGCGAAGGUACGAAUUGAAGCCCCAGUAAACGGCGGCCGUAACUAUAACGGUCCUAAGGUAGCGAAAUUCCUUGUCGGGUAAGUUCCGACCCGCACGAAAGGCGUAACGA